Myotis davidii is the source of this 54-nucleotide non-coding RNA. The record is from Rfam. Lineage: Eukaryota; Metazoa; Chordata; Mammalia; Chiroptera; Vespertilionidae.
GGCGGUUCUCAGGUGACACAUCCUGGAAUCGGGCUCCCUCCUCUCUGGUUCCGG